ACUCCCUCUGUUCCUAAAUACUUGUUGUUGGGGAGAACUAGACUAGUUUUCUGCAACAACAAGUAUUGUGGUACGGAGGGAGU
This 83-nucleotide microRNA precursor is filed under the name Hordeum vulgare. Its description in RNAcentral is "miR5049 stem-loop (hvu-MIR5049a)". The record is from miRBase by way of RNAcentral. Lineage: Eukaryota; Viridiplantae; Streptophyta; Magnoliopsida; Poales; Poaceae.